CUUGCUUCUCUUGAGAGCGGCGGACGGGUGAGUAAUGCCUAGGAAUCUGCCUGGUAGUGGGGGAUAACGUCCGGAAACGGACGCUAAUACCGCAUACGUCCUACGGGAGAAAGCAGGGGACCUUCGGGCCUUGCGCUAUCAGAUGAGCCUAGGUCGGAUUAGCUAGUUGGUGGGGUAAUGGCUCACCAAGGCGACGAUCCGUAACUGGUCUGAGAGGAUGAUCAGUCACACUGGAACUGAGACACGGUCCAGACUCCUACGGGAGGCAGCAGUGGGGAAUAUUGGACAAUGGGCGAAAGCCUGAUCCAGCCAUGCCGCGUGUGUGAAGAAGGUCUUCGGAUUGUAAAGCACUUUAAGUUGGGAGGAAGGGCAGUAAAUUAAUACUUUGCUGUUUUGACGUUACCGACAGAAUAAGCACCGGCUAACUCUGUGCCAGCAGCCGCGGUAAUACAGAGGGUGCAAGCGUUAAUCGGAAUUACUGGGCGUAAAGCGCGCGUAGGUGGUUCGUUAAGUUGGAUGUGAAAUCCCCGGGCUCAACCUGGGAACUGCAUUCAAAACUGACGAGCUAGAGUAUGGUAGAGGGUGGUGGAAUUUCCUGUGUAGCGGUGAAAUGCGUAGAUAUAGGAAGGAACACCAGUGGCGAAGGCGACCACCUGGACUGAUACUGACACUGAGUGCGAAAGCGUGGGGAGCAA
This 695-nucleotide ribosomal RNA is filed under the name uncultured bacterium. RNAcentral's name for it is "bacterial SSU rRNA". It matches the Rfam family "Bacterial small subunit ribosomal RNA", at positions 79 to 771 of the family's 1533-position model. The record is from RNAcentral.